AACCUUCGCAAUGCGCGCAAGCGCGACGAGGGGAACUCGAGUGCCAUUGCCAUUUUUGGUGAUGGCUUUUCUUGAUCCUAAAAAGAUCAGGGAAUAAAAGCUGGGUAAGACGGGUGCCAGCCGCCGCGGUAAUACCCGCAGCUCAAGUGGUGGCCACUAUUAUUGAGCCUAAAGCGUCCGUAGCCGGUCUUGUAAAUCUCUGGGUAAAUCCUGCCGCUUAACGGUGGGAAUACUGGAGAGACUGCAAGACUGGGGAUCGGGUGAAGCGAGAGGUACUCCUGGGGUAGGGGUAAAAUCCUGUAAUCCUGGGGGGACGACCGGUGGCGAAAGCGUCUCGCUAGAACGACUCCGACGGUGAGGGACGAAGGCUAGGGGAGCAAACCGGAUUAGAUACCCGGGUAGUCCUAGCUGUAAACGCUGCACACUUGGUGUUGCCCCUUCUUAGGGAAAGGGCAGUGCCGGAGCGAAGGUGUUAAGUGUGCCGCUUGGGGAGUAUGGUCGCAAGGCUGAAACUUAA
RNAcentral lists this ribosomal RNA (517 nucleotides) under uncultured archaeon. RNAcentral describes it as "bacterial SSU rRNA". It matches the Rfam family "Archaeal small subunit ribosomal RNA", at positions 345 to 859 of the family's 1478-position model. The record is from RNAcentral.